Molecule: ribosomal RNA, 485 nt
Filed under: uncultured bacterium
Lineage: Bacteria
Description: bacterial SSU rRNA
Rfam family: Bacterial small subunit ribosomal RNA
Source: RNAcentral
GAUCUGGUUCAGGACGAACGCUGGCGGCGUGCCUAACACAUGCAAGUCGAGCGAGGAGAUCCUUCGGGAUGAUCCUAGCGGCGGACGGGUGAGUAACACGUGGGCAACCUGCCUCAUAGAGAGGAAUAGCCUUCCGAAAGGGAGAUUAAUACCUCAUAACAUUGCAGUUUCGCAUGGAACAGCAAUUGAAGGAGCAAUCCGCUAUGAGAUGGGCCCGCGGCGCAUUAGCUAGUUGGUGAGGUAACGGCUCACCAAGGCGACGAUGCGUAGCCGACCUGAGAGGGUGAUCGGCCACAUUGGGACUGAGACACGGCCCAGACUCCUGCGGGAGGCAGCAGUGGGGAAUAUUGCACAAUGGGGGAAACCCUGAUGCAAGCAACGCCGCGUGAGUGAUGACGGCCUUCGGGUUGUAAAGCUCUGUCUUCAGGGACGAUAAUGACGGUACCUGAGGAGGAAGCCACGGCUAACUACGUGCCAGCAGCCGC